GAAUGUGUGCUAAAGCGGAGGUCUGCCCGCUGGACGAGCGGACCUCGUCGAAAUAUAUGUCAAGGUAAACUUCUUGUAGAAUGGCCAGACACGGAUAUGUGCCGGUCUGUAAGAGUCUAUAAAAGAAACCGCUUGCACCGUAUUCCAAUGACAAGUGCAGCACCUGCCACGGCCAGACUCAACUCACUCGGAGGAGAGAGUCGAGUCCCGUCAUGCACCUGCCAAAUUGCUUCGCUCCUAAGCUGCUAGGGCGCUGCGCAUGCGCAGUUCGGCAUCGCAAAAGGCGGAUCGAAACGUCGAAGUAACCUAGCGCCUCGGCAUCGCAGUUCAGCGAACUGUGAUGUGGUGUUGCCAUGUCUGCCUUUGCUUAACGGACAUCGAGGGAUGUGCUGCUAGCUACAAGUCAUGCAAAUGCGACUGCGUUGACCACCUACUGUCCAGUGCUGAGUGUGGUUGGUGUGCUGUGCUUGUAACGAGUGAUGCAGCCGUGCAGCUGGGGUGGUGGAGGAGCAGAGUAGCUUAGGGGCUCCAUUUGCGUGUUCACAGACAUGUGCUCCUGUUUGGUCUCAUUAGCGGCUGUCGCAGGAUUGCGGUGUGCUCCUUGCCUAGUAUGAAGUUUACGAUACUAACACACAGCUUGUGCUAGAUGUCUGUGCUUGAUGUCAUUUGCAUGAUGACCGAGUUGAAAACGAGGCAUAUGUCUGUGUUCUUUGCGUUUGUGUGUUGGAAAUUUUCUCUAUUGUGGAAGUUCUGGCAGUCCUAUUUUGAAGAGAGUACAAACGUACAUAUAUAAACACAUUUGGGCAUGGCACAUGAGUGGGCACGGCAGACCGAGUUUCGGCAUGAUGUCUAAGCCUUUCUUCUGUAUCGCGCAGGCUUUUCUGCUGAGCUUAGCCGGAGCGCCAACACAGCUUCAUCAUUUGUCUGGCCAUUUCAAGAUACCGCCGGAUGAAUCUUGCUCGUGGACAGCGGGAACAGCGACGGAGUACCUCGUUUUCGAGGACAUCAUCUGCGACGCAUCCUCAGCGCCACCUUGGGACCAAGUGACGUCAUCAUACCUGACUAUAAAAGAACAGCUGCAGCUCUGCGAGUUCAGUGGACAUGGCAGACCGAGCUGCGGCAUGAUGUCUAAGCCUUUCUUCUGUAUCGCGCAGGCUUUUCUGCUGAGUUUAGCCGGAGUGUCAACGCCGCUUCGUCAUUUGUCUGGCCAUUUCAAGAUACCGCUGGAUGAAUCUUGCUCGUUGACAGCGGGAACAGCGACGGAGUACCUCGUUUUCGAGGACAUCAUCUGCGACGCAUCCUCAGCGCCACCUUGGGACCAAGUGACGUCAUCAUACCUGACUAUAAAAGAACAGCUGCAGCUCUGCGAGUUCAGUGAGCAUGGCAGACCGAGCUUCGGCAUGAUGCCUAAGCCCUUCUGUAUCGCGCAGGCUUUUCUGCUGAGCUUAGCCGGAGCGUCAACACCGCUUCAUCAUUUGUCUGGCCAUUUCAAGAUACCGCCGGAUGAAUCUUGCUCGUGGACAGCGGGAACAGCGACGGAGUACCUCGUUUUCGAGGACAUCAUCUGCGACGCAUCCUCAGCGCCACCUUGGGACCAAGUGACGUCAUCAUACCUGACUAUAAAAGAACAGCUGCAGCUCUGCGAGUUCAGUGAGCAUGGCAGACCGAGCUUCGGCAUGAUGCCUAAGCCCUUCUGUAUCGCGCAGGCUUUUCUGCUGAGCUUAGCCGGAGCGUCAACACCGCUUCAUCAUUUGUCUGGCCAUUUCAAGAUACCGCCGGAUGAAUCUUGCUCGUGGACAGCGGGAACAGCGACGGAGUACCUCGUUUUCGAGGACAUCAUCUGCGACGCAUCCUCAGCGCCACCUUGGGACCAAGUGACGUCAUCAUACCUGACUAUAAAAGAACAGCUGCAGCUCUGCGAGUUCAGUGGACAUGGCAGACCGAGCUGCGGCAUGAUGUCUAAGCCUUUCUUCUGUAUCGCGCAGGCUUUUCUGCUGAGUUUAGCCGGAGUGUCAACGCCGCUUCGUCAUUUGUCUGGCCAUUUCAAGAUACCGCUGGAUGAAUCUUGCUCGUUGACAGCGGGAACAGCGACGGAGUACCUCGUUUUCGAGGACAUCAUCUGCGACGCAUCCUCAGCGCCACCUUGGGACCAAGUGACGUCAUCAUACCUGACUAUAAAAGAACAGCUGCAGCUCUGCGAGUUCAGUGAGCAUGGCAGACCGAGCUUCGGCAUGAUGCCUAAGCCCUUCUGUAUCGCGCAGGCUUUUCUGCUGAGCUUAGCCGGAGCGUCAACACCGCUUCAUCAUUUGUCUGGCCAUUUCAAGAUACCGCCGGAUGAAUCUUGCUCGUGGACAGCGGGAACAGCGACGGAGUACCUCGUUUUCGAGGACAUCAUCUGCGACGCAUCCUCAGCGCCACCUUGGGACCAAGUGACGUCAUCAUACCUGACUAUAAAAGAACAGCUGCAGCUCUGCGAGUUCAGUGAGCAUGGCAGACCGAGCUUCGGCAUGAUGCCUAAGCCCUUCUGUAUCGCGCAGGCUUUUCUGCUGAGCUUAGCCGGAGCGUCAACACCGCUUCAUCAUUUGUCUGGCCAUUUCAAGAUACCGCCGGAUGAAUCUUGCUCGUGGACAGCGGGAACAGCGACGGAGUACCUCGUUUUCGAGGACAUCAUCUGCGACGCAUCCUCAGCGCCACCUUGGGACCAAGUGACUGACGUCAUCAUACCUGACUAUAAAAGAACAGCUGCAGCUCUGCGAGUUCAGUGAGCAUGGCAGACCGAGCUUCGGCAUGAUGCCUAAGCCCUUCUGUAUCGCGCAGGCUUUUCUGCUGAGCUUAGCCGGAGCGUCAACACCGCUUCAUCAUUUGUCUGGCCAUUUCAAGAUACCGCCGGAUGAAUCUUGCUCGUGGACAGCGGGAACAGCGACGGAGUACCUCGUUUUCGAGGACAUCAUCUGCGACGCAUCCUCAGCGCCACCUUGGGACCAAGUGACUGACGUCAUCAUACCUGACUAUAAAAGAACAGCUGCAGCUCUGCGAGUUCAGUGAGCAUGGCAGACCGAGCUUCGGAAUGAUGUCUAAGCCUUUCUUCUGUAUCGCGCAGGUUAGCUAAUAUUUUACUACGCUUAGAAGUGAUUGCCGCAGUAUAUUGGUCGUGCCAUGCCCACAACAGUGCAUUAUCAUGGCGUACAAUGUGUAUUGUGUGUGCCAGCUUCUUCUUUGCGGGGUCGUAGAAUUGAACCCUGGCCCACAGACAGCAGAACUUCUGAAAGAACUUUUGGAAGGGUAACACAAACGUACCGCUGAAGUGGCGACACUUAGGACUCGGCAAAGCAUGAUGGAAAAGUUAAUGUCAGAUAUGGCGUUACGUUUCAACGAAAUCAUCAAACAAGGUGUUUGCGUUGCAUCCCUUGAACAAUCAGUGAAUCUUCUGCAUAAAAUAAUCAUCGACCUAGAGGACUGGAGCAGGCGGUCAAAUUUUAUUGUUUUCGGGGUACAAGAAGGCAGUGACGA
RNAcentral lists this unclassified non-coding RNA (3510 nucleotides) under Dermacentor andersoni. RNAcentral describes it as "uncharacterized LOC126538454". Lineage: Eukaryota; Metazoa; Arthropoda; Arachnida; Ixodida; Ixodidae. The record is from RNAcentral.